UACGUAGGGUGCAAGCGUUGUCCGGAAUUAUUGGGCGUAAAGAGCUCGUAGGCGGUCUGUCGCGUCUGCUGUGAAAACUCAGGGCUUAACCCUGAGCUUGCAGUGGGUACGGGCAGACUAGAGUGCGGUAGGGGAGACUGGAAUUCCUGGUGUAGCGGUGAAAUGCGCAGAUAUCAGGAGGAACACCGGUGGCGAAGGCGGGUCUCUGGG
This 210-nucleotide ribosomal RNA is filed under the name uncultured bacterium. Its description in RNAcentral is "partial 16S ribosomal RNA". It matches the Rfam family "Bacterial small subunit ribosomal RNA", at positions 524 to 733 of the family's 1533-position model. The record is from RNAcentral.